Long non-coding RNA from Bos taurus (domestic cattle), 1941 nucleotides. Lineage: Eukaryota; Metazoa; Chordata; Mammalia; Artiodactyla; Bovidae. The record is from Ensembl.
GUUGAGGCAGGCUUAUUAACAAAAAGCUUUAUGAGGAAAAUUUUCAUCUAGUUUCUUUAACCGUUUUUUCCUGCUUAUCAAGCAAUACAUGUGCACUAUAUAAAACUUCAAAGACUUAUUUCACUCCUAGCUUGAUUUCACUGUCCUACUUUUUUCUUUAUUUCUAACUCUUCUCACUACCCCAUAUAUUGACAGCAUAACUGAACAGUUACAAAUUUUCAGUAAAAUCAUCUGGUGAUAUCUACUGGGAUUACAGCAGCACACACCCUUGACCCAGCAAUGCUGCUUCUGAGACUAUUUUUAGAAAUGAAACACCAUUAUGUGAAGAUAUAUAUGUAAAUCUAUGCCAGAAAAAAAAAAAAAAAAACAACAAAAACAAAAAAAAACACUGAAUCUGGAGUCAUCGAAUCCAAAUCCAAGAGGCCUGGCUGUCAUGUCUUAAGCAGCUCCGUGGCUUGCAGGAUCUGAGUUCCUCAACCAGGGCUCAAAAAGGUGCUCCCUGCAAUAGAAGUGUGAAGUCCUAACCACCAGGAAAUUCCUGGAUCUGAGCUCUUCACCUCUGCAAAUGACUGUCUUUGACAGAAGAGAAGAAGGCAGAGAACUGAUCUAAGGGAGCUGAUCCAUGUUUCAGAGACAAGAGGAUGAAAAGGGGCAUGCUAGCCUUUGGUGAUUUUCCCUCUUCAUUCUGAACUCCAGCAUUUCUUCCUGACUUCAGACAUCCUCUGUGAAGACUUGUCUCGCCGUGAAAAGGUGCAGCCAGUGGACUGUGGGCUCCGUAUCUCCUAUGUUGGCCAUAUCAUAAAUGCUCAGGAGAUGGUGGUGGUUGGUCAGCUGCUUUGAGAGUAUAUAAUCUACCUGUCCAUUCCUAGCAAGCAUCCAUGCAUCUUGAGUUAAAAUCAUUACUUGUUGUUUGCUUUCACAUCAAGCAGCUUCUGGUUCUUGGAUUAAUGAGGAAAGAUGUCAACAUUGUAGCCUACAAACACUCUUGGAUUCAGGCUGAACAUCAUGACAGAUAAUUUUAUAACCAUGGAAAAAAAUGUACAUAUGUGCCAACUGACUUGGGACAUUUAGUGGUUCUUUUAAUUAAAACUCAGACAGGAAUUUUAAAUUUGUUACUGCAUAACCACUGAUGAUGUCAAUGAAUGUUUCAUUGAUCCUAACUUGUAGGAAAUUGCUGUUUAUAAUGUACACAUCACUCUCUUCCUCACCUUUCCCACCUUCAUUCCACUUUCACACAUCUGCUUGUAUCUUAUUACCAUGGCCUCUUAAAAAAAAGAAAAAGAAGAAAGAAACAUUUUGUCCAUUAAUUACUGUGUUACUAUAAGAUGUAAAUUGGAAUUCCAAUGUUCAUGUUUAUGAAAUAAUCAUGGAAUUGCUGUAUGUCACAUGAAUUCAAUUUUGAGUCCACAAAUAUCUGAGCAGGGACAAGUGUGCCCUGCAGUAUACAAGGAACUGGGGAUACAAAUACUGUACAUAGUCCUUCUCCUGUAGGAAGAGGGAAAAUAGAUCACCUAUAGCCCAGAGGGCAAAAUGUAAUAGAAGGAUGGGCACACCACAGAGGAAGCACAGAAAAAGUAAUGACAAGAGAAGAAAUGUUAAGGAAGCCUUUAUGGAAGAAGUAGUUGUUUAUUUGGGUUUUGAAGUAUGAAUAGGAGUUUGACAGGUGGUUGAGUAGAAAAAGAAAGUCACUCAAGUCAAAGAGAACCACAUUUGCAAAAGCACAGAGGUAAGAAAUUGUAUAUAUGUCUGCCAUUUAUUGAUCAUGGACUAUGUGGACAGAUGAAGAAAGGGUACAAAUAAGAAUGGAUUGGAUUCAUGGUUUUGAAAUUUUAAUUUAUUUGCACCUACUUCAGUAUUCUUGCCUGGAGAAUCCCAUGGACAGAGAAGCCUGGCAGGCUAUAGUCCAUAGGGUUGCAAAGAGUUGGACAUGACUAAAGCGAC